This is a long non-coding RNA of Clupea harengus (Atlantic herring), 1012 nucleotides long. The record is from Ensembl. Lineage: Eukaryota; Metazoa; Chordata; Actinopteri; Clupeiformes; Clupeidae.
GCGGUAUCUCUGGGCCAUACGUUAUCUCUGCCGACAGGUCGUCUGGGACUGGGGCGCCAUACCCCGUUCAGAUCCCAACCUCUCCGGCUCCUUCUCCUCCCUGCUUCUUCCAAAUCCUGCCUGGCCUUCUCUUGCAUUGUCUUGUCUUGUCUUUCUCUCCUCCUGCAUACUGACGGAUUUCUGCGCUCUAAGUUAUGACUAUUCCUCAGUUGGUGUCUAUGGGUUAGAGCUGGCUGUGGAAGAUUUCCCCCAACAAAACAUCAGUCUCUCCUACAAAAAUGGCUCCCACUCUAUCAGGAGUCCAUUUAAUCAAGCUGCCAUCUUCACACUUCAACUUAGCCAACUUCCUCUGCACUUUGCUGUCAAAGUUGACCCCGCUGUGGAAUCUUGUGAUGAAGGAGUAUACUUGCCAAAGUUCCUUCACCCUACCCCAGAGAAUGGAGAACAAAUUCAAGCUAAGAUCAACCAGGAGCUUGAGAUCAUAAUCCAUGCAACAGCCUCUGCCACUGUGGUUCAUAAUAUCACCAUAAGUGGACCCCUGAACAUCACAGUCAACAAGUACAACAAUGGUUCUGAACAGUUUGUUCUGAGGUGGACUCCAAGGGCCGAUGAUCUUGGGGAAUAUUUUCCCGUCUGUUUCAUUGCUGAAAGUCACACAGUAAAUAACACCUACUAUCAAUCUGACAUGAGAUGCGUCAUUGUCGAAGUUGGAAAUGAUACAGAUUCUGAUUCAGCCGUUCCAACUGGAGAGAGUACUAUGUUGACGGAGAUAGUGGCUGGCCUGAGGAUGAAGAUUGAAUCUGAAACUUCACUAACUGAAGCCGAGAUCGAAGAAACGAUCAUAAAGCCGUUUCAAGAGGAGCUUAUCCGUCAUGGUCUACCCAACAGUACCACUCUAAGUCUGAGACGAGUACAUCAGAUCAACCCAUGAGGAAUCCACCAGGACUACUAUUCCAGGCACAAAGGUGCUCUAAAAAGGACUUUCUCUCUGUCCCAAACCAGUGAAGCCCCU